This 239-nucleotide long non-coding RNA is filed under the name Apteryx rowi (Okarito brown kiwi). Its description in RNAcentral is "lncRNA (ENSARWG00000011399.1)". Lineage: Eukaryota; Metazoa; Chordata; Aves; Apterygiformes; Apterygidae. The record is from RNAcentral.
AGAGCGAGCGGACGAGCAGCAAGCCUGCCUAUGUAGACUAAAGAAUUUGCUGAAGGUCACAUAACCUGAGGCCAAGCUGGAUCUCGUGACGCCCAGUCUGGUGCUUUAAUCACAGCCUGUUCCUGCUUUUCAUGCUAAGACCUCCUGAGGGAUGGAGAUGCAAUGAUAAAGUCGUAGAUCAUCUGGUUUAACUCUGUGUGUGAAAGCAGGAUCCAACACUCUUGGUUCAUCCCUGGCAG